This 99-nucleotide ribosomal RNA is filed under the name Pelobates cultripes (western spadefoot toad). RNAcentral describes it as "SSU_rRNA_eukarya". The record is from RNAcentral. Lineage: Eukaryota; Metazoa; Chordata; Amphibia; Anura; Pelobatidae.
AUAACAAUACAGGACUCUUUAGAGGCCCUGUAAUUGUAAUGAGUACAGUUGAAAUCCUUUAACUCUGAUCAAUUGGAGGGAAGUCUGGUGCAGCACCAC